This 477-nucleotide ribosomal RNA is filed under the name uncultured Myroides sp. RNAcentral's name for it is "partial 16S ribosomal RNA". The record is from RNAcentral. Lineage: Bacteria; Pseudomonadati; Bacteroidota; Flavobacteriia; Flavobacteriales; Flavobacteriaceae.
CACGGAGUUAGCCGAUCCUUAUUCUUACAGUACCGUCAAGUUACUACACGUAGUAAUGUUUCUUCCUGUACAAAAGCAGUUUACAAUCCAUAGGACCGUCAUCCUGCACGCGGCAUGGCUGGUUCAGAGUUGCCUCCAUUGACCAAUAUUCCUCACUGCUGCCUCCCGUAGGAGUCUGGUCCGUGUCUCAGUACCAGUGUGGGGGAUCUCCCUCUCAGGACCCCUAAUCAUCGUCGCCUUGGUAUGCCGUUACCACACCAACUAGCUAAUGAUACGCAUGCUCAUCUUAUACCGAUAAAUCUUUAUUAUUAAAAUGAUGCCAUCUCAAUAAACCAUGGGGCAUUAAUCCAAAUUUCUCUGGGCUAUUCCCCUGUAUAAGGUAGAUUGCAUACGCGUUACUCACCGUGCGCCGGUCUCAAGAUAGCAAGCUAUCUCUACCCCUCACUUGCAUGUGUUAGGCCUGCCGCUAGCGUUCAU